RNAcentral lists this ribosomal RNA (253 nucleotides) under uncultured bacterium. RNAcentral describes it as "partial 16S ribosomal RNA". It matches the Rfam family "Bacterial small subunit ribosomal RNA", at positions 524 to 776 of the family's 1533-position model. The record is from RNAcentral.
UACAGAGGUCUCAAGCGUUGUUCGGAUUCAUUGGGCGUAAAGGGUGCGUAGGCGGCGCGGUAAGUCGGGUGUGAAAUCUCGGAGCUUAACUCCGAAACUGCAUUCGAUACUGCCGUGCUUGAGGACUGGAGAGGAGACUGGAAUUUACGGUGUAGCGGUGAAAUGCGUAGAUAUCUGGAGGAACACCGGUGGCGAAGGCGCGAUUCUGGCCCGAUACUGACGCUGAGGCGCGAAAGCCAGGGGAGCAAACGGG